AGUGGCGGACGGGUGAGUAACGCGUGAGAAUCUACCUUCAGGACGGGGACAACAGCUGGAAACGGCUGCUAAUACCCGAUAUGCCGAAAGGUGAAAAGUUUUUUCGCCUGGAGAGGAGCUCGCGUCCGAUUAGCUAGUUGGUGAGGUAAAAGCUUACCAAGGCGACGAUCGGUAGCUGGUCUGAGAGGAUGAGCAGCCACACGGAACUGAGACACGGUCCAGACUCCUACGGGAGGCAGCAGUGGGGAAUUUUCCGCAAUGGGCGAAAGCCUGACGGAGCAACGCCGCGUGGGGGAAGAAGGUUUUUGGAUUGUAAACCCCUUUUCUCAAGGAAGAACAAAAUGACGGUACUUGAGGAAUCAGCCUCGGCUAACUCCGUGCCAGCAGCCGCGGUAAUACGGAGGAGGCAAGCGUUAUCCGGAAUUAUUGGGCGUAAAGCGUUCGUAGGCGGCUGUUCAAGUCUGCUGUCAAAGACCGAGGCUCAACCUCGGGUAGGCAGUGGAAACUGGAUAGCUAGAGGUCGGUAGGGGCAGAGGGAAUUCCCAGUGUAGCGGUGAAAUGCGUAGAUAUUGGGAAGAACACCGGUGGCGAAAGCGCUCUGCUGGGCCGAACCUGACGCUGAGGGACGAAAGCUAGGGGAGCGAAUGGGAUUAGAUACCCC
This 661-nucleotide ribosomal RNA is filed under the name uncultured bacterium. Its description in RNAcentral is "bacterial SSU rRNA". It matches the Rfam family "Bacterial small subunit ribosomal RNA", at positions 94 to 788 of the family's 1533-position model. The record is from RNAcentral.